RNAcentral lists this signal recognition particle RNA (97 nucleotides) under Parathalassolituus penaei. RNAcentral describes it as "Bacterial small signal recognition particle RNA". It matches the Rfam family "Bacterial small signal recognition particle RNA". From Rfam's summary of the family: The signal recognition particle (SRP) is a universally conserved ribonucleoprotein involved in the co-translational targeting of proteins to membranes. The record is from Rfam by way of RNAcentral. Lineage: Bacteria; Pseudomonadati; Pseudomonadota; Gammaproteobacteria; Oceanospirillales; Oceanospirillaceae.
UGCUGGUCCCCUCGCAACGAUACACUACAAACCCCGCCAGGCCCGGAAGGGAGCAACGGUAGUAGUGAACUCGUGUGCCGGGGUGUGGCUGGUGGGG